Varanus komodoensis (Komodo dragon) is the source of this 3346-nucleotide RNA transcript. It is a transcript of the gene named sorting nexin 4, with no coding region annotated. The transcript is spliced from 15 exons. Lineage: Eukaryota; Metazoa; Chordata; Lepidosauria; Squamata; Varanidae. The record is from RefSeq and is a predicted model, not a curated record.
GCGAGCCCCUCUUCCCUGCGUCCAUGGAGCAUCCCGGCGCUGAGAGUCCCGGCGGCGGGAGCACUUGCGGAGGCAGUAGUAGCAACAGCAGCAGCCAAGAAGGCGAGGAGCCCGAGUCCCCCGGAGGCCCCGUACCUGAGGAAGAGGACGAGGGAGAGGCGGCGGCGGCGAAGGGAGAGGACGCCGAGGAGCAGAGGGCGCGGGCUGGACUGGCAGCUUACGCGAUGAUGGAAGAUUGUUUAUUGAAGAAAAUAGAAAUCAGUGUGGCAGAAGCAGAGAAGCGUACUGGACGGAAUGCAAUGAACAUGCAGGAAACGUACACUGCUUACCUGGUGGAAACAAGGGCUGUGGAGUCUCAGGCUGAAGGGCAGUGUUCCCCCCCAGAUUCUCUUUGGAGAAGAUACAGUGAAUUUGAGCUGUUGAGGAAUUAUUUGCUAGUUAACUAUCCCCAUAUUAUUGUACCACCUUUGCCAGAAAAAAGGGCAGAGUUUGUUUGGCAUAAAUUAUCAGCAGAUAAUAUGGAUCCAGAUUUUGUAGAAAGACGGAGGAUUGGCCUGGAGAAUUUUCUUUUGCGAGUGGCUUCACAUCCCAUUCUCUGCCAGGAGAAGAUUUUCAAUGCAUUUUUAACCCAGGAGGGUGGAUGGAAGGAGAUGGUGAAUGAAACAGGGUUUCAGCUGAAGGCUGAUUCUAGAUUAAAAGCUCUUAAUGCAACAUUCCGAGUGAAAAAUCCAGACAAGAGAUUUACGGAGCUUAAACACUACAGCGAUGAGCUGCAAUCUGUCAUAUCACACCUUCUGAGAGUCAGAGCUAGAGUGGCAGAUCGACUAUAUGGUGUGUACAAAGUCCAUGGGAAUUAUGGAAGAGUUUUCAGUGAAUGGAGUGCAAUAGAAAAGGAGAUGGGGGAUGGGCUACAGAGUGCUGGUCAUCACAUGGAUGUGUAUGCUGCAUCUAUUGAUGACAUACUAGAAGAAGAAGAACAUUAUGCAGAUCAACUGAAAGAAUAUCUCUUCUAUGCAGAAGCUCUUCGGGCAGUUUGCAGGAAACAUGAACUUCUGCAAUAUGAGUUGGAAAUGGCUGUUCAAGAUCUGACAUCGAAGAAGCAGCAGUGUGAGGAAUUGGCAACAGGAACAGUGAGAACAUUCUCUUUGAAAGGAAUGACCAGCAAGCUUUUUGGUCAGGAAACACCUGAACAAAGAGAAGCAAAGAUAAAGGUUUUAGAAGAACAGAUACAUGAAGGAGAAGAGCAGCUCAAAACAAAGAAUUUAGAGAGCAGCACUGGAUGCACUAAACUAGUGCCUGCCUCUGUCAAUGGACUGGAUGAGAGAAACAAAGUAAAGCUCAAUCCAGACAAGACUGAAAUGCUGUUUGUGGGCAGUUCCUUAGAUUGGAUGGAGGAUGCUCAACCUGUUCUAGAUGGGGUUGCACUGCCCUUGAAAGAUCAGAGACUUUAUAAAAAGUGCCUGGGCUGAUAUUGAACGGUUCAAAGAGCAAAAGAACCAUGAUUUGAAAGAGGCCCUGAUCAGUUAUGCCGUGAUGCAGAUCAGUAUGUGUAAAAAGGGAAUUCAAGUUUGGACAAAUGCAAAAGAAUGUUUCAGCAAGAUGUGAUGGAUGGAACUUGGUUCUUCUUGAAAAAAGCUGGACAGCAGAAGCACAAAUGCAUGAAUAUGGAUACUAAGAUGCUACAUUAUUAAAUUGUGGAAUUGGUGUAGUUGUAAAAGUAGGCACAAAGAAUUGGUCUCUGUUCCUUGAUGGCCACCUUGUGGCUUGUUUUGCAUGCUGUAGCAAAUUGAACAUUGUAGUUCUCUCUGGAAGUAAGGCUAUAUAUAAGGAGAAUCCAAGUUGGCUCCAGUGAUGGCAUAAACUAAAAUGUUCAUCAUAUUAGGCUCUUGAACCACCAAUCUUUGCACUAUCUAAAUCAUUUCUUGGUGCCCUUCUGUUUCACAUUUGUAAUGCUAUAAGAUAUAAUAAUGGGGAUUUUUUGUUUUGUUUUCUAUAUGUAGUGGCACAAAAUUGUGUUUUCUAAGUAUCCAUAAUUAUCACAUACAUUGUUUGUCACUGGUGAGAAGAUGUUUUUCCAAAAAUUCGCUUUCUUUUUGUAACAAAUUUUUGAAUGUUUAGUAUGUUAUUCAACUGGGAUGUUCUGUACAGUACAGCAUUAUGUUUCUGAACUAGAAAUUUAAAACUGAAAGGAUUCCACAAUAAAAUGUUUCUACUCGUCAGAAGAUAACUGCAUAAUUAGCAAGCAGAUAAUACAAUUACUGUUCCUGACCUCAGUAAAAAUGCAUAACACAAACUUUAAAUUUAAUUGGCACUAUCCAUAAGUAUUUGGUUCUGCAUUAUCAAUUCAUUUUAAGAUGGUUAUACCAAGCAUAAUGAUGUUCCCCCUUUGAAUACUAACAGUGGUAGCUUCCUGAAAAACUUCAUUAAUCUGAGGUUGUUUUGCUUUGCACAUAUUAAUCCAAAUGUGAAUUGUAUAUACAUGUCUCUGCAUUCAUUCAUAAACACUACUUUUUAAGGAUUCUUUUUCAAGGAAAAUACAUAGGAUAGGUUGUUUCUCCCCAGGUAAAGUAUGUGUAAAAGCAAGAUAGCCCUUGCUAGCUCUGAUUAUAGCUGGAACCAGCAUCUUGUAUUUUAGGAAAGAUCCAAGACUCAUUGGCCUCUUUUCUAGUGGUAUUUAACAUGUCACUCAAGUUAAUGCAGACCCAAGCCAUAUGUAAGUCUAGGAAGCCUUCCUUGAUAUUAAUAGUGCUUAUUUGUGAAGCACAUAUUUAAUUAUUGCAAAUAACAACACUGUAUAAGUUUACGCAUACCAGAAACAAAUUCUUAAUCUUUCUAUUUCCCCAAAUCAGAUCUUUUUGCUUGCUGCAAUUAUAAAGCCAGGUAUGCAAAGCAAAACAUUUUCAGCUCUAAACAGAUGUAAUUUUUUUUUUUAAGAUUAAUGAAUAGUUUGUUUCAAGAGAAACAUCUAGCCCACUUAGGAUAGAUAUAUCUAUGCUUGAUCAUUCCACUUCAGAGAACAGUACAAACUGGGUCCUAAAACUGAAGAAUAAAAACUUGUACAUUCCAAAAAUAAUAAGCAGCUACAGUUAGAUUUUUAUAGUAUACUUCCUAGAGUUAGUUGUGCCUUAAUUAAUACCAGUGGGCACUUGGAGUCAAUAUUUUCCAUGCACUUGAUCUUCCUAGUGCCUUCUCCCACUCCCCUUCUUUCAUAAGCUGUAUAAUAUAUUAGUAUUCCUUUUUUCUUGCUAACUAUCUCAAAUCUGAAAAGGAUCAAAAGGUUCUUGUAAGCUUUGUGCCAAAUAUGUGAAAUAAAACUACAGUUUAUUAUUUUUGCUUUUCACAGUUA